Molecule: long non-coding RNA, 333 nt
Organism: Triticum dicoccoides
Lineage: Eukaryota; Viridiplantae; Streptophyta; Magnoliopsida; Poales; Poaceae
Exons: 3
Source: RefSeq, a predicted model, not a curated record
CGGCGACGGACUGGCAGCCGGGCGAAGGACACUUGCCGGCGGCGGCAAACAGGCGGCCGACGAAUCACGCACGCGCGCACAACCUAGAAUUGUUGAGGAAUGAAGAGGGCCAGACGAGACAUUAUCUCUCUUUUUCCAGAAGAAGAGAAACAAUGUCUCGUCAAGGCCGGGAAUAUGUCAGAUGUGGCCGAAGAGCAAACCGGAGAACUUGUGUGUAUGCCAGAAACAUAGUCUUUUUGAACUUCUCAAGUUAGAACUUUCACAUGUCAUAUUGCUUAUCAAAAAAAAAAAUGGGGCGGACCACCCUGGUGUCAAAUACUAGCUCCGCCACUG